This 381-nucleotide ribosomal RNA is filed under the name uncultured bacterium. RNAcentral's name for it is "bacterial SSU rRNA". It matches the Rfam family "Bacterial small subunit ribosomal RNA", at positions 110 to 507 of the family's 1533-position model. The record is from RNAcentral.
GGAACACGUGAGAAAUCUGCCUUCAACACUGGGAUAACUCCGGGAAACCGGGGCUAAUACCGGAUAUGAAACCUGCGGCAUCCGCGGGUUUGGAAAGUUUUUCGGUUGAAGAUGAUCUCGCGGCCUAUCAGCUUGUUGGUGAGGUAAUGGCUCACCAAGGCGACGACGGGUAGCCGGCCUGAGAGGGCGACCGGCCACACUGGGACUGAGACACGGCCCAGACUCCUACGGGAGGCAGCAGUGGGGAAUAUUGGGCAAUGGAGGAAACUCUGACCCAGCGACGCCGCGUGCGGGAUGAAGGCCUUCGGGUUGUAAACCGCUUUCAGCAGGGAAGAAGCGAAAGUGACGGUACCUGCAGAAGAAGCACCGGCUAACUAUGUG